AACGAACGCUGGCGGCAUGCCUAACACAUGCAAGUCGAACGAAGUCCUUCGGGGCGUUAGUGGCGCACGGGUGCGUAACGCGUGGGAAUCUGCCCUUGGGUUCGGAAUAACAGUUAGAAAUGACUGCUAAUACCGGAUGAUGACGAAAGUCCAAAGAUUUAUCGCCCAAGGAUGAGCCCGCGUAGGAUUAGGUAGUUGGUGGGGUAAAGGCCUACCAAGCCGACGAUCCUUAGCUGGUCUGAGAGGAUGAUCAGCCACACUGGGACGUGAGACACGGCCCAGACUCCUACGGGAGGCAGCAGUGGGGAAUAUUGGACAAUGGGCG
This 325-nucleotide ribosomal RNA is filed under the name uncultured bacterium. Its description in RNAcentral is "bacterial SSU rRNA". It matches the Rfam family "Bacterial small subunit ribosomal RNA", at positions 29 to 377 of the family's 1533-position model. The record is from RNAcentral.